This is a long non-coding RNA of Pygocentrus nattereri (red-bellied piranha), 1333 nucleotides long. NCBI's taxonomy places the organism in Eukaryota, Metazoa, Chordata, Actinopteri, Characiformes, Serrasalmidae. The record is from Ensembl.
GGAAGAGCUGAGGUGAGUAACAGCAGACGUUUAUUAAUCAGAUCAGUGAGAGUCGUCACUGUAUUUCUCUUCACCUUUAAACGGAGCUGAGCAGAACCAGCAUCGUGAUAAACAGUGAAGUUAAACCCUGUGAUCUGAUCAAUACUAUCAGAUAUUCCUGAUCACUGAGCUCAUCGCUGUGCUGCGUCCUGUGAAGUUAAACCCUGUGAUCUGAUCAAUACUAUCAGAUAUUCCUGAUCACUGAGCUCAUCGCUGUGCUGCGUCCUGUGAAGUUAAACCCUGUGAUCUGAUCAAUACUAUCAGAUAUUCCUGAUCACUGAGCUCAUCGCUGCGCUGCGUCCAGUGAAGUUAAACCCUGUGAUCUGAUCAAUACUAUCAGAUAUUCCUGAUCACUGAGCUCAUCGCUGCGCUGCGUCCAGUGAAGUUAAACCCUGUGAUCUGAUCAAUACUAUCAGAUAUUCCUGAUCACUGAGCUCAUCGCUGCGCUGCGUACAGUGAAGUUAAACCCUGUGAUCUGAUCAAUACUAUCAGAUAUUCCUGAUCACUGAGCUCAUCGCUGUGCUGCGUACAGUGAAGUUAAACCCUGUGAUCUGAUCAAUACUAUCAGAUAUUCCUGAUCACUGAGCUCAUCGCUGCGCUGCGUCCAGUGAAGUUAAACCCUGUGAUCUGAUCAAUACUAUCAGAUAUUCCUGAUCACUGAGCUCAUCGCUGCGCUGCGUCCAGUGAAGUUAAACCCUGUGAUCUGAUCAAUACUAUCAGAUAUUCCUGAUCACUGAGCUCAUCGCUGCGCUGCGUCGUAUUUAACGCUCAGUUUCCUCAUCAGGUUCCUGAAUAAACUCUGAGUGGAGAACAGCGUUUCAGCAGCAGCUGAUCUCACUGCAUAUUUCACACUCCACUGACUCUCUGACUCACUCUGAGUCACUCUGACUCUCUUUAAGUCACUCUGACUCACUCACAAUCCAGCAGAAAGGAUGGCUGGAUUCUUUGGGCGAUGGAAGUCUUCAUUCACACUUCCCCCCAGAGAAACAGUGAAUUACUCAGACAUUGUGGUGGGAAAUGCACUGAAGUCUGAUCAGGACUUCGUAAGUCGUCUGCGUGAGACGUCCCCCGGUCUGGUGAGGACGUCAGUGGAGGACAGUGACGUUAUUCUGGUUUUCUGUCUGAUUGUUUCUCGAGCUGGACCUGAUAUUGAAGCAGCGCUGCAGAGACUUGAAGCUGCAUCAGGUACUCAGGUUUUUGGCAUAUUUUGAUUAGUGAUUUUUAAUUUCUAUGUUGAAAGUUUCUUAUAAUGUCCAGUCGUCAACUUUUACACCCUUUUAGACUUCAUGCCACA